RNAcentral lists this microRNA precursor (106 nucleotides) under Mus pahari (shrew mouse). RNAcentral describes it as "microRNA 8108 (MGP_PahariEiJ_G0007098.1)". The record is from RNAcentral. Lineage: Eukaryota; Metazoa; Chordata; Mammalia; Rodentia; Muridae.
ACUCAUGCAUGUAUUCUAUACAUUCUGCUCCUUUUCCCGAGGCAUAUCCAGAUAAGAUCCUCUAGGGAGGAGGUAGUCACAUAAAGAAAUGUAGGCUCUUAUUUUG